CAGUAGCCGCGGUAAUACGAAGGGGGCUAGCGUUGCUCGGAAUCGCUGGGCGUAAAGGGUGCGUAGGCGGGUCUUUAAGUCAGGGGUGAAAUCCUGGAGCUCAACUCCAGAACUGCCUUUGAUACUGAAGAUCCUGAGUUCGGGAGAGGCGAGUGGAACUGCGGGUGUAGAGGUGAAAUUCGUAGAUAUUCGCAAGAACACCAGUGGCGAAGGCGGCUCACUGGCCCGAUACUGACGCUGAGGCACGAAAGCGUGGGGAGCAAACAAGAUUAGAUACCCCCGUAGUCCCUGUCUCUUAUAC
RNAcentral lists this ribosomal RNA (301 nucleotides) under uncultured bacterium. RNAcentral's name for it is "partial 16S ribosomal RNA". It matches the Rfam family "Bacterial small subunit ribosomal RNA", at positions 509 to 807 of the family's 1533-position model. The record is from RNAcentral.